This 6169-nucleotide long non-coding RNA is filed under the name Homo sapiens (human). RNAcentral's name for it is "non-protein coding lnc-NTMT1-7:2". Lineage: Eukaryota; Metazoa; Chordata; Mammalia; Primates; Hominidae. The record is from RNAcentral.
AGUUGCUGUAGCAACCGGCGGGGGAAGUGGGACAGGCUGGCUUUGAGGACGCGCGAGGUCGGCCGCGGGCGGCUGGAGCCGGCGCGGGCCUCUGUGCGCCGCGAGAGGGAGGCCGCCUGCAGCCCGGCUGCUCGGCCGCCGCGGGCCCGGCUCCGGGGGUUCAGUUUUAAUGAAGAAUCCCUGCUCCCUUCUCGCGCCCCUCCCGCUUUCUGCCCACCUCCCUGGGGUCUGGAAGGAGAGGGUCGCCCCUCCCCGCUUUGGCUGCUAAACUCUCUGGCUCUCCCCCCGGCCGCUGCCUGGGUUCUGGUGGCUUCCUUCCUCCUCCUUGUCUGUCGGAGCUCAAGGGACAAGCCCUUUCCCUGGCGCGUGCCUGGUGAAACCCUCGCACCCUUCCCCACCCCCACAAGCCUUUGGCAUGGCCUGGGAGACUCCGGGCAUCUUCAACCCAGCCAGGGACAAGGGUCCGCGGAGGGUCUGGAGCCCCUCGUGGGCCUGGUGCCCACGGAGUGCCCACCCCUGCCCUCCAGGAGCCCCUGGGAAGGCAGCACUCUGUUCAAGGAGGAAGCCAGACCCAGCUACAAGGGAGGGACCCUCGGCUGAUGCAAAGAGGCCGGAGCCCGCAUCCCAGCACCGCCCCCGCCGGCUGUCUGCUGGUUCCUUCUCCAAGGCCUUCAGAGAGGAUCCCUGAAGCUUGGCAGGGACAGACACAGGUUCUGGAGUGGGCUGGGCCUGAGUUCAAAUCCCACACUCCAGUGGGACCCUCAUCCACCGCUGAUAGGAAUGAGAAGUGGUUCGACUACUUUUGGAAAACAUUUGGCACUUUUAAAAAAGUUGAACAUACUCUUACCACGGAUCUGACCAUGGCACUCCGAGGCUUUUAUCUCCAAGAAAUGAAAUCUCCACCGGCGCAGUGGCUCAUGCCUGUAAUCCCAGCACUUUGGGAGGCUGAGGCGGGCGGAUCUCUUGAACCCAGGGGUCCAAGACCAGUCUAGGCAACAUAGUGAGACCCUGUCUUUACAAAAUAUUUAAAGACUGGACGGGCGCGGUGGCUCAUGCCUGUAAUCCCAGCACUUUGGGAAGCCGAGACGGGCGGAUCACGAGGUCAGGAAAUCGAGACCAUCCUGGCUAACACGGUGAAACCCCGUCUCUACUAAAAAUACAAAAAAUUAGCUGGGCAUGGUGGUGGGUGCCUGUAGUCCCAGCUACUCUGGAGGCUGAGGCAGGAGAAUGGCCUGAACCCGGGAGGUGGAGCUUGCAGUGAACAGAGAUCAUGCCACCGCACUCCAACCUGGGCGACAGAGCGAGAGUCUAAAAAAAAAAAACAUAUAUGUAUAUAUAUAUGCCGGGUGUGGUGGCUCACGGCUGUAACCUCAGCACUUUGGGAAGCCAAGGCAGGUGAAUCACCUGAGGUCAGGAGUUCAAGACCAGCCUGGCCAACACGGUGAAACCCCAUCUCUACAAAAAAUACAAAAAUUAGCCAGGCAUGGUGGUGCAUGCCUGUAAUCCCAGCUACUUGGGAGGCAGAGACAGGAGAAUCGCUUGAAUCUGGGAGGCGGAGGUUGCAGUGAACCGAGAUCAUGCCACUGCACUCCAGCCUGGGCAGCAAGGGCGAAACUCCGUCUCAAUUAAAAAAAAAAAAAAAAAGAAUUAGCCAGGCAUGGUGGUGCACACCUGUAGUCCCAGCUACUCAGGAGGCCGAGGUGAGAGGAUCGCUUGAGCCAGGGAGGUUGAGGCCGCAGUGAGCCAAAAUUACGCCACUGUACUCCAGCCUGGGCGACAGAGCGAGACCAUGUCUCAAAAAAAAAAAAGAAAGAAAAGAAAAGAAAAGAAAAGAAAGAAAAAGAAAACAAUGAAACUCACCUCCACACAGAGCCUUGCACAUGAGUGUUCACAGCAGCUUUAUUUGUAAAAGGCGGAAACUGGAGACAGCACAGUGUUGCUCCGUCCCGCAGGCAAAGGGAGCAACAGGUUGUGGCACAUCCGUCCCAUGGAAGGCGACUCACCAACAGGAACGACCGUGCACACAGCACCACAGCACCAUGACCAGGAGAGGAGCCGGAACAACCGUGCACACAGCACCACAGCACCAUGACUGGGAGAGGAGCCGGCAGCCACCAGCAAGGCAUGGGGGAUUGUGUCGGUGUGAAGUCCCGGAAGAUGCGUGCGAGUCGGUAAUGACAGAAAGCAGCUCUGUGGUUGCCUGGGGAUGCUGGGGUCCAGGAAGGACUACAAAUUGGCAAUGGGAAACUUUUUCUUUCUUUUCUUUUCUUUUUUUUUUUUUUUAAGACAGGGUCUCACUGUCGCCCAUGCUGGAGUGCAGUAGCGCAGUCAUAGCUCACUGUGACACCUUCAUCUCCUGGCUUCAGGUCUCAGCCUCCCAAGUAGCUGGGAUCAUAGACACAUGCCACCAUGCUUGGCUAAUUUUUGUAUGUAUGUAUGUAUGUAUGUAUUUAUUUAUUUAUUGUAGAGACAGGGUCUCUCUGUGUUGCCCAGGCUGGUCUCAAACUCCUGGUCUCAGAUGAUCCUCCUACCUUGGCCUCCCAAAGCACUGAGAUUACAGGUGUGAGCCACUGUGCCCAGCCAGCAUGAGGAAACUUUUGUUGGGACAGGAGGCAGUGGGGUGGGGUGGGGGUGGGUGUGUUCACCGUCUUGAUGGUAGUGAUGGUUUUAGGGGUGUGCUGCACCUGUGCCAAAGCUCAUCAAGCUGUGCGAUUUAAAUAUGUGCAGGUAUCCAGUGUCCAUUAUGCCUCAAUACAUUGAAAAAGCAAAUUCCUGCUCUACCAUGUUGAUGUUGGGUGGGUCACCUCAUUUCUCACUCAUGACAAUGGAAGAAGGAUGGUACCAGCCUCCUGGGUUGGUUCUGAGAAUUCAGUUACACAGUGUUGGUAAAUUGUUCGGCUCCAUCCUGGGCAAAUCAUGGGUGCCUGAUCCAGGGCAGAUAACAGGACUGUAGGACUGCAGGACUGCAAGACAAAGCUGCUUCAGCUCGACCUCCACCACUCCUUCAUGGCCUCCCAUCAGAAGGGGAGCCCCUGCUCCGUGCCAGGCCUGGCCACUCCCUGGGUUAAUAAGGGGGGAACAAGCCCUAACUCCAUCCUCGUGGGCUGGCUGGGGUGACAGAGACAAACAGUGACAAUUACAACCUAGGGAAGAGCGUUCCAGGCACGUGCAAAGGGCCUGUGCUGGUGGGACUACGGCACAUUCCCGAAUCCACAGGAAGGGCCUUUGUGGCUGAAGUGGGGGCAGCAUGCAGGGCACAGACUGGCCCUGCAGCUUCUUGUGGGACCUGCUCAGGGGUGAGCACGGGGCCUUGUGAGGGUGCCAAGCCCCUGAAUGCGGCUUGGAGGAGGCUGUGGCGUUGGCUCUGUGUUGGUGGAAAUUCCAGCUUCCCUCUUCACUGCCAUUUACUUCCUGUAAGCCUCAGAUUCCCUGUCUGGUGAAUGGGGGUAAGGACCCCCAAUGAGAUCUGACACAGAGCUCGGUGUUUGGAGGUCUGGGUUAUGUCCACCUCCCUUGCGUCUGUCACACUGUGUUAUAGUUUUCAGCCUUUGGGUAACUUUCCCAGCCCAACUGUGGGUUCCCGGGGGCAGCGCCUGCAGCCUCUCCUCUCUGAGCCCCUGCACUUGGCACAGAGGCACAGCCCAGGGACCCAGUGACUAUCUCAGGAGGUGAAUGGAGUCCCCUGUGUAGCAGGAACAAAGCCCCUGCCUCCACAGGGUUCACUGUCUGGUUGGAAGACAAAGAGAUGACUUCUUCCAUGGUGGGCAGGUGCGGAUCCCAGGAGCUCUCCAGAGGUGUUGAGACCUUCAUAACCUCCACCCUCAGCUCCUGGCUGGGGCCUUCUCUCAAGUUUAGAGCCAGCGUGGGCUAUUUUCUUGGUUUUCUGAGCUGUAAUUAUGAACAGCUUUGACCAGCCGGUUUUCAUCCUUUGCUCAUUAGAGAAUGAAGCCUCAGUCGGGCAUUGUAGCUCACGCCUGUAAUCUCAGCACUUUGGGAGGCCGAGGUGGGAAGAUCACCUGAGGCCAGGAGUUCGAAACCAGCCUGGCCAACAUGGUGAAACCCUGUUUCUACUUAAAAAAAAAAAAAAAAUUAGCCAGGCAUGGUGGCACAUCCCUGUAAUCCCAGCUACUUGGGAGGCUGAGGCAGGAGAAUUGCUUGAACCCUGGAAGCAGAGGUUGCAGUGAGCAGAGAUCGCACCACCACACUCCAACUGGGCAACAGAGCAAGACUCCAUCUCAAAAAAAAAAAAAAGAAAAAGAGAGAAUGAAGCCUUGAAGAGGAGGGGAUUUUCUGAAGCCCCAGAACCAGCUGCCCUUAUUGCCUUACAGACAAUCCCAUCCCCCACCGGAGCCAGCAAGGUGGGAUGGGGUUGAACUAAGAUUCCCACAGGGACCAGGCCAGGAGGGGCUUGGCCAGCUCCCACUCCAUGCCAGAGAGGGGCAUGACUGGGCCAGGUGACAUGGCAGGACCAGCCCAGAGCCCACCUUGGGGUCCCAUCCCAGCUCAUCUCACAGGGCUGGGCCAGGCUGCAGAUGCUCUAGAUUCGUUUCCUGCAGCUGAGGCUCACACCAGCGCCUCCCAGAUUUGUGCCAGGGGAGGAGGAUAAAGCGCUAGGUUGAGACCCAGUAGCGUUUGCCAAGAAGGAGGGUUCUGGCCUCGGAGUGGCUGGGGUCUCCAUGGCCCCCUUCCAAGCUCCCUUCACCAGCAGAGUGGCCAUGCACCCUCCCCUCCCGUCAAAGCCACAGCCCUGACACCACUGAGCCUCUUGGACUCUCUCCAAUGACAUGGCUGAACCGGCCCACCCACGUGGCCAGCCCCACGCCUGUGAUUUCAGAGAGAAGCUUAACAGAGAUCUCACCAAAUUCCACCCCCUCAGAGGCUGACCCAAAUGCCCAUGCUCUGUGACCACGGCCAUCUCGCUGCCCCUCUCUGAACCUCCUCUUCUGAAAACUGCCUGCCAUCACACUAACCUGCCAGGCACUUUUGAGCAGCUGAUUUCACAAAUCUUAAUUAUUAUUCAGAUGUCCGCUUUACAGAAUAACAACUGAGGCCGGAGAGUCUAGGUGGAGCGCCCAAAGCCGGCCAGGUGGUGGGCAGUGACGUGGGCAGCCAGAGGCCUGGGCUAGUGCCUGGAUUCCCAUCCCAGCCGCACUGUGACUCAGCGGCCUGGGGCGAGUCACCCACCCGCAGAGCCUCGGUUUUCUCCUCUGUAAAGUGGGGGUGAUAAGGGCACAGAAUGAGCCUGAGCAGGUGCAGCUCUCAGCACAGGGCGUGGGGUUCUGUGGGCAGUGCCCUCCAGGCACCUCCUCCCUUGGUGGUGAUGGAUCAAGAUCGUUCAUGGAACUGUGUUGGGAACAUAUAGAUGAGGAAUUCCAUUUGCUAUGACAAUUAUUAUUCAAUGGCUUCCCGAGUCAGGAAUGUAGGUCCUGCCCACGCAGGAGCUGUGUCUCUGGUGUGAGCUCCAGGGCCCCUCCUUCUCUGCCCUCCACAUGUAGCCGGGAGGUCUGAGCAGGUCUUGUUUUUCAGCAAUCCCCCCGCCCUUCCCUGGAGGGAAGGCGAUAUCCACAAUUCCUUCCUGAGCACCUACUGUGUGCCAGGCAUGGAGAGGCACCAGAGGCGAAGACGGGCCCAGUGUGGUCAGGGGUAUAAUGGGGGCACCAGGGUCUAUGGGAGGCUGGAGGCAGCCCCUGACCUUGCCUAUUGUUAGGGGGAGGGAGCACAAAAGGCUUCUAGAAGAGCAGGUCUAACCUGAGACCCAAAGCUUGAAUAGGAGUCAACCAGGCUGAGGGUGUGGGAUGCUCUGGCAAGGGGCACGCAGUGUGCGCAAAGGCCUGGGGCGAGAGGAACAGGACUCAUUAGAACACGGCUUGCAGGCAUGUUCGUUUCAAUAUCCCACGGGGUGGGAGGGGUCAUGGGGAGCCAUGGAAAGUUUUAGGCAGGAAGUAACAUAUUCAGAAGCACCUUCCAGAAAGACUGCUCUGGCUAUCCUUUGGAAGAAGGAUUGCAGGGCAGAGCAGAAGCAGGGAGGCCACCAAGGUGGCUGCUGCAGACAUCUGGAUGAUAAUGGGGGUCUGGACCAGGGCGGCAAAAGUCGGGGAAGGGAAGUGAUUAAAAAGAUGUAGGCCAGACGCAGUGGCUCACGCCUAUAAUCCCAGCAUUUUGGGAGGCU